GUAUUGUACGAAAGGAGGGAAGAUUAGCAGUCCCCUUGACAAGGAUGGAAGAGGCCUUUGGCCCUGACAACAUGCACACUGUUAAGGCAUUGCCACCUACUCUGUGGCAUCAAACCAGUUUUC
This 123-nucleotide non-coding RNA is filed under the name Chinchilla lanigera (long-tailed chinchilla). The record is from RNAcentral. Lineage: Eukaryota; Metazoa; Chordata; Mammalia; Rodentia; Chinchillidae.